AUCGUUGCUCGGGUCGUU
RNAcentral lists this microRNA (18 nucleotides) under Drosophila pseudoobscura pseudoobscura. RNAcentral's name for it is "mir-2569-RA". The record is from RNAcentral. Lineage: Eukaryota; Metazoa; Arthropoda; Insecta; Diptera; Drosophilidae.